GCAGUUGAGCGCUGAGGUUGGUACUUGUACCGACUGGAUGAGCAGCGAACGGGUGAGUAACGCGUGGGGAAUCUGCCUUUGAGCGGGGGACAACAUUUGGAAACGAAUGCUAAUACCGCAUAAAAACUUUAAACACAAGUUUUAAGUUUGAAAGAUGCAAUUGCAUCACUCAAAGAUGAUCCCGCGUUGUAUUAGCUAGUUGGUGAGGUAAAGGCUCACCAAGGCGAUGAUACAUAGCCGACCUGAGAGGGUGAUCGGCCACAUUGGGACUGAGACACGGCCCAAACUCCUACGGGAGGCAGCAGUAGGGAAUCUUCGGCAAUGGACGAAAGUCUGACCGAGCAACGCCGCGUGAGUGAAGAAGGUUUUCGGAUCGUAAAACUCUGUUGGUAGAGAAGAACGUUGGUGAGAGUGGAAAGCUCAUCAAGUGACGGUAACUACCCAGAAAGGGACGGCUAACUACGUGCCAGCAGCCGCGGUAAUACGUAGGUCCCGAGCGUUGUCCGGAUUUAUUGGGCGUAAAGCGAGCGCAGGUGGUUUAUUAAGUCUGGUGUAAAAGGCAGUGGCUCAACCAUUGUAUGCAUUGGAAACUGGUAGACUUGAGUGCAGGAGAGGAGAGUGGAAUUCCAUGUGUAGCGGUGAAAUGCGUAGAUAUAUGGAGGAACACCGGUGGCGAAAGCGGCUCUCUGGCCUGUAACUGACACUGAGGCUCGAAAGCGUGGGGAGCAAACAGGAUUAGAUACCCUGGUAGUCCACGCCGUAAACGAUGAGUGCUAGAUGUAGGGAGCUAUAAGUUCUCU
Molecule: ribosomal RNA, 800 nt
Filed under: Leuconostoc lactis
Lineage: Bacteria; Bacillati; Bacillota; Bacilli; Lactobacillales; Lactobacillaceae
Also listed under: 1 other name
Description: bacterial SSU rRNA
Rfam family: Bacterial small subunit ribosomal RNA
Source: RNAcentral